AUUGAACGCUGGCGGCAUGCUUUACACAUGCAAGUCGAACGGUAACAGGCCUUCGGGUGCUGACGAGUGGCGAACGGGUGAGUAAUGCAUCGGAACGUACCCAGAGGUGGGGGAUAACGCAGCGAAAGCUGUGCUAAUACUGCAAGUGAUCUGAGGAUGAAAGCGGGGGACCGAGCAGCAAUGUUUGGCCUCGCGCCUUUGGAGCGGCCGAUGUCGGAUUAGCUAGUUGGUGGGGUAAAGGCCUACCAAGGCGACGAUCCGUAGCUGGUCUGAGAGGACGACGAGCCACACUGGGAUUGAGACACGGCCCACACUCCUACGGGAGGCAGCAGUGGGGAAUUUUGGACAAUGGGCGCAAGCCUGAUCCAGCAAUGCCGCGUGCGGGAAGAAGGCCUUCGGGUUGUAAACCGCUUUUGGCAGGAACGAAACGGUGUCCGCUAAUACCGGGCGCUAAUGACGGUACCUUCAGAAUAAGCACCGGCUAACUACGUG
This 492-nucleotide ribosomal RNA is filed under the name uncultured bacterium. RNAcentral's name for it is "partial 16S ribosomal RNA". It matches the Rfam family "Bacterial small subunit ribosomal RNA", at positions 30 to 507 of the family's 1533-position model. The record is from RNAcentral.